AAUAAAACUGUUUUGUUUCUCUUUCCAGGUCUACAUAACGUGACUGGUCUGAGUUUCUGACUAUACAAUUUUCCUUCUCUCUGAAGAACUUCUUUUGACAUUUCUUACAAGGACCAGAAACUGGAGGACAUGCUGUUUCUACUGACACGUCCUCAAACUCAGAGAGUUUUUUCCUUAGCCUUGAAUGCUGGGACUACCAUGAGAAGUCAUAUCUUCCUGGAUCAGGAAUGGUCAUAUAGAGAAAGAGGAAGGCCCAGCAAUCCCAGCUGAAAUCUUAGACAAGAGUUUAAGGCUAUUGCAAAUUAUUCAGUCGAGCUGUCACAGAACCGCCCCACCAACCCAAAUUGUGAGAUAUAAUAUUAUCAUUGUUUUAGGCAACUAUAUUCUGAGGUGGCUUGUUAAACUGCAAAAUUCAAUGUAUUAAUACAUAUCAACAAAAUCCCAAAUGUAUUUGGUUUGGCAGUCUGGUUACUGAAGAUAACCUUCCUGCAAUCUAUGGCUACAAAUGGUAUCCUCUUGAUCCAGCUCUGGCCAAUGACGCAUACACAUACGUUGCUAAUUGGUGUCUGGUAGUGGAGCCAUCUAAAGGGAGGCAAUUCUUUUAGUUAGAAUGAUUCUUUGGCCCUUUGCUUUUCCUCCUCCUUCUUCCCUGGAAUACAGAUAAAAUAAAGGAAGCAUAUUUCAACCAUGAGAUAAAAGUCCCACUCUAAGAAUGGUGGGACAGGAAAAUAGAAAGCAAUUGAGCCCUGAUGGCAGUUUAGCUGCCCUACCAGGUCAGGACUACACAAUCUCCAGACUUUUUGUUGUAUGAGAAAAAAAAUCUUUAAUCCACUGGAAUAAAUGAAUGCAAAUACUAACUCAACGUAUUAAAGAAGGUGGAGUCACUGACGGUUCCUAUUUUGCUG
RNAcentral lists this long non-coding RNA (905 nucleotides) under Homo sapiens (human). RNAcentral's name for it is "HSALNT0138835". Lineage: Eukaryota; Metazoa; Chordata; Mammalia; Primates; Hominidae. The record is from RNAcentral.